UACGGAGGGGGCUAGCGUUGUUCGGAAUUACUGGGCGUAAAGGGUGCGUAGGCGGCGAUCCAAGUCAGGCGUGAAAGCCCCGGGCUCAACCUGGGAGGUGCGCUUGAUACUGGAUUGCUCGAGUCCGGGAGAGGAUAGCGGAAUUCCCAGUGUAGAGGUGAAAUUCGUAGAUAUUGGGAAGAACACCGGUGGCGAAGGCGGCUAUCUGGACCGGCACUGACGCUGAGGCACGACAGCGUGGGGAGCAAAC
This 250-nucleotide ribosomal RNA is filed under the name uncultured bacterium. RNAcentral describes it as "partial 16S ribosomal RNA". It matches the Rfam family "Bacterial small subunit ribosomal RNA", at positions 524 to 773 of the family's 1533-position model. The record is from RNAcentral.